UUCUUUUCUUAUUGAGAUCAAGGAGUUUGUACUGGGAUGUUAACUUUCUUUUUGAUACACAUUGUAAAAUACCCAGUGCUUUCAGGGGAAGACCAUUGUAGCUAGACAGAUAGAAGCUGACAUAAAUAAUUUUACUACUCUGAAGUGAAGUUCAGACUGGCUUGUUUUCAAAACCAUACAAGUUCCUUAAUAGCCCGUUAUUCACAUAUAUUUUACAAUUCCUUUUGAAUUACCAUAUAAGGCCAGAUAGAGAAGCACUAAGAGGAGACAAAGGAGCAGUCUUUACCAAGUCCGUCCAUUAUAACAAAAUUCACAGCAGUACCACCAUGGCCAUACAAAUUCAUCAUCAUGAAAGUCUGGUCACUCAACCCAUAGCAAACUUUAUUCAUACUUUAAUCUUACACUUUUUCUCAGCUGGAAAGAGCAGUUGAAAAUAUACUGUGGAAAUCAUUUGGCAGUAUCUGAAUGAAAUAAGAUGAAAUGAAAUGAAUGAUGUGACCUAAUAAAUCUUUUGUAUCUACCUCUGGCUUCUGUCAUCUAGAAGUUUUCAAUAAUAGUUAGGAAGGUUCUCCCUUCAGUGCCCAACUGCAACUCAACUUCUCUGUAGUGCUACAGUUUGGAAGCUUAUUUUAGGGUACAAAAAUGACAGACAAUGAAAUACAUAGUUUGGAAUCACACAGUAGAAAUGAAAAGAGGUAAUGUGUCAAGUGCUACUUGGGACUCCUUUAGUAUACGCUCUUGCUGAGAUGGCUUCAGCAAAAUAACUUCCCUCCAGAAACAUAACUCAACAGUAUGAUCAACUGAAUCUGAAACUAUCUCCAAGGACUUAUUCACUCAUCCUUAGUUGGAAUCUUUAGAUUCCUCUAGGAUUUACAUCACAAACAAUGGGUUCUGUCAGCAGAUAUUUGGGACUCUACUUAACUUCAGCUGAAGAUCCGAGAAGGAUCCCAAUCAGUUGGAUACAGAGAUACAAGAUUAAACUAUGCAAGGUAGUUGGUAAUCCUAAGUGCAAACUACUUUCCCCUGGGAUCGGCUCUCCAUUUUAACAAUUUGGGAACAGUGGCUGAAAACUUUCAUUUGCAAAUUUAUUUCUUAAAGAACAGAAAGAAGCCAUGAAAGAUGUAUUUUGGAGAUGAGGAGAAUCUAUGUUCCACACCUUCAGUGCUUCAGUACUUAGCAACAGAGCAGAAAGCAGAGCGAGGAAGACUAAAACACAAGACAGAAUACACAAGAAGAAUAGAGCACCGGUUAAAUAUCAACAAUCCUUUGAUUUUCAUUGCUACAAUCAAAAAUGAACCAGCUGAGAUAAAUCUGUGUAUUGCAUGCUUAUAGGUCACAACUGGCUCUUUAUCUGGAAAAAAUAUUAUUGUUAUAUUGAUUG
Cygnus olor (mute swan) is the source of this 1381-nucleotide long non-coding RNA. RefSeq lists it as uncharacterized. The record is from RefSeq and is a predicted model, not a curated record. Lineage: Eukaryota; Metazoa; Chordata; Aves; Anseriformes; Anatidae. The transcript is spliced from 5 exons.